RNAcentral lists this ribosomal RNA (501 nucleotides) under uncultured bacterium. RNAcentral's name for it is "partial 16S ribosomal RNA". It matches the Rfam family "Bacterial small subunit ribosomal RNA", at positions 28 to 523 of the family's 1533-position model. The record is from RNAcentral.
GAUGAACGCUAGCGACAGGCUUAACACAUGCAAGUCGAGGGGCAGCGGGGGUAGCAAUACCCGCCGGCGACCGGCGCACGGGUGAGUAACGCGUAUGCAACUUACCUAUCAGAGGGGGAUAACCCGGCGAAAGUCGGACUAAUACCGCAUGAAGCAGGGGCCCCGCAUGGGGAUAUUUGCUAAAGAUUCAUCGCUGAUAGAUAGGCAUGCGUUCCAUUAGGCAGUUGGCGGGGUAACGGCCCACCAAACCGACGAUGGAUAGGGGUUCUGAGAGGAAGGUCCCCCACAUUGGUACGGAGACACGGGCCAAACUCCUACGGGAGGAAGUAGUGAGGAAUAUUGGUCAAUGGGCGCGAGCCUGAACCAGCCAAGUCGCGUGAGGGAUGAAGGUUCUAUGGAUCGUAAACCUCUUUUAUAAGGGAAUAAAGUGCGGGACGUGUCCUGUUUUGUAUGUACCUUAUGAAUAAGGAUCGGCUAACUCCGUGCCAGCAGCCGCCGUAA